This 433-nucleotide ribosomal RNA is filed under the name uncultured bacterium. Its description in RNAcentral is "partial 16S ribosomal RNA". It matches the Rfam family "Bacterial small subunit ribosomal RNA", at positions 29 to 507 of the family's 1533-position model. The record is from RNAcentral.
AACGAACGCUGGCGGCAUGCCUAACACAUGCAAGUCGAACGAGACCUUCGGGUCUAGUGGCGCACGGGUGCGUAACGCGUGGGAACCUGCCCUUAGGUUCGGAAUAACUCCCCGAAAGGGGUGCUAAUACCGGAUAAUGUCUUCGGACCAAAGAUUUAUCGCCUUUGGAUGGGCCCGCGUUGGAUUAGCUAGUUGGUAGGGUAAAAGCCUACCAAGGCGACGAUCCAUAGCUGGUCUGAGAGGAUGAUCAGCCACACUGGGACUGAGACACGGCCCAGACUCCUACGGGAGGCAGCAGUGGGGAAUAUUGGAAAAUGGGCGAAAGCCUGAUCCAGCUAUGCCGCGUGAGUGAUGAAGGCCUUAGGGUUGUAAAGCUCUUUUACCCGGGAUGAUAAUGACAGUACCGGGAGAAUAAGCUCCGGCUAACUCCGUG